AACGAGGGAGGCGGACGUUAUUCAUCUUUACUGGGCGUAAAGGGUGUGUAGGUUGUAAUAUAAGUCAUAAUUGAAAAAUUAGUUAUUAAAUAAUAAUUAUUAAAACUGUAUUACUUGAGUUAUUUAGGAGAUUAUGGUACUCUUAAUGGAGAGGUUGAAUUCGGAGAUAUUAGGGGAACUAACAAAGGUGAAAACAAUAAUCUAUAAAUAAACUGACAUUGAGACACUAAAGCUUGGGGUUCAAAUAGG
This 249-nucleotide ribosomal RNA is filed under the name uncultured bacterium. RNAcentral describes it as "partial 16S ribosomal RNA". It matches the Rfam family "Bacterial small subunit ribosomal RNA", at positions 524 to 776 of the family's 1533-position model. The record is from RNAcentral.